ACUCAAAGGAAUUGACGGGGGCCCGCACAAGCGGCGGAGCAUGUGGCUUAAUUCGACGCAACGCGAAGAACCUUACCAAGGCUUGACAUAUACCGAAAACUCAUAGAGAUAUGGGGUCCGCAAGGGCGGUAUACAGGUGGUGCAUGGUUGUCGUCAGCUCGUGUCGUGAGAUGUUGGGUUAAGUCCCGCAACGAGCGCAACCCUCGUCCUAUGUUGCCAGCGAGUAAUGUCGGGGACUCAUAGGAGACUGCCGGGGUCAACUCGGAGGAAGGUGGGGAUGACGUCAAAUCAUCAUGCCCCUUAUGUCUUGGGCUGCACACAUGCUACAAUGGCCAGUACAAAGGGCUGCAAUACCGCAAGGUGGAGCUAAUCCCAAAAAGCUGGUCUCAGUUCGGAUUGGGGUCUGCAACUCGACCCCAUGAAGUCGGAGUCGCUAGUAAUCGCAGAUCAGCAACGCUGCGGUGAAUACGUUCCCGGGCCUUGUACACACCGCCCGU
Molecule: ribosomal RNA, 497 nt
Filed under: uncultured bacterium
Lineage: Bacteria
Description: partial 16S ribosomal RNA
Rfam family: Bacterial small subunit ribosomal RNA
Source: RNAcentral